AUGUGUUCUAUGUAGUUUGAAGAUUUCCAACAAUGGUGUCAAUUGGGAUAAACGUGCUUUAAACAAUUAUUCAUGCAAACUAUUUUUACCCUUUGAUAUCUUCAAAGAUAGAGCAUCCCUUAUGGAAGGGUGGAAGCUUUGUUAUGCAUUUAUUUUGUCAUACCCUCAUGCCUUGACUUCAGCAUUAUGACCAAAAGACUAAACAAGUAUCCAUCUUUGUGAGUAGCUGAGUCAGUGGGUUUAAGUGGGCUUGUAAGGAUCUUAUAUCCUAUUUUUGAUUUAGGAUUAUUAUUGAAACCUUGUGCCUUAUCUUGCAAAGUUUGAUAUUGUGGGGAUCCGAUGUUUCCUUUAGAAAAAACUAUGAGUAAGGUCAGUAAUCUGUACUUCCCGAGGAACUGAAAUCAACAAGGAUCAAUGCAAAGAAUUAUUUUUUGAAAAUUUGUAAACAAUUGAACUACACAAACACUUCAUUGCUAGGUUUCUAUAUUUAAAUGCUUGUGACUCAGCAAUUGUCUAGAAAUACUAAGUGGAUCUUGACUAUGAUCUCCAUGGACUCAUUGUGAUGACCAAUUAAUUAUUCACAAGCUUUUCUUUUAUGAAAUGAUUUACAAUUGCAGCUCAUGAUAGUGUGCCUUUUGAACUCAUUGGAUUUCUUGACAUUUAUAUUUCUUUUUGCAAUAUUUCCUAAAUAUUGACUUCUUCCAACAGUUCAAUUUGCUUGUUGAGGAACAAGAAAGUUUUUACUUUUGAGCUGCAACUAUCAGCAUUCAUUUCUUGCAAACAAGAAAAUGAAGGAAUAAAGGCAUUUUUAUUGGAGCUAUAGUUUGAGUGAACAACUGAACCUUAGUGUUCUGAUAUAUUUCCUUGGUCCUUGGAAAUGUUCCAUUAUUACUACUUGUUUGGUUAUCCAUGAAUUUGUACCUUUAUUUUGUUUUCUCUGUCACUCGUGGUUCUCAACCUUAUCACUUUUGUUAUAGGAACUGCACAGGUAUCCAUUUAUUAUUAUAAUUUUUUUUCAUGUUUAUUUUGUUUCUCUGCAAAUAUGCUAAAAUUUCUUCCUUGAGUAUGUUUAUUUUGUUUAUUUUGUUUCUCUGCAAAUAUGCUAAAUUCUUCCUUGAGUAUGUUGAUUUUGACUCUUCAUAUUUUAGAUGCAAAUUGGAGAUUCUGGGAGGAGUUAGUUCAGAAAAAUGAUGCAAAAUGGUAUGAACAAAGUACUGAUGGAUUGACAGCAUGCUGCAUAUGAUAGCUAAUAUCUGAAAUGAUUUUCUGCUUUAAAAUACUAUGAAUUGAUAUUAUAUAUACAAAAAAAAAUGCAAGCUGUAAGAUUUAAACUAUUUGGUGUUGGUUACAUUGUUUGAUAUUUAUGUGAAAAGAAAAGCACUUGAUGCAAUGCCAAUGAUGUGCUAACCAAAAGACAAUGAUAUGCAGCAGCUCCUCCAAAGAUCAGCCAUGUGCAGCAUUUUGAAUUUAUCAAAAAACAUUUCGAGGGCUUUGGCACGGACUCGUUCAUAUUGAGUUGGAUGGUAUGUAGGAUAUUACUUUUCCAUGUAUUAAAACUACUAUGCAUCUUGAUCCUAAUAUGAUGUUUCUAAGUUCUAACUUUUCUAUAAAAUAAAGGGAAAUUUCGGCUGGCUUAUUCUAUAAUUGAAUACCAAGAGCAUAAAGAAACUAAAUGAAACAUUCAAUUUCCGCUUCUAUGUAUAAGUGUUGUGGACCAUGAUAAAGCUUAUGGAUUCUGAGUUUUGUUGUUGUAGUAUGUUAUAAAUGGAAUCAGAUUUGCUAAAAUCCUUUCAUAUUAUUGCAGUUGGAGUUUGUGCAGACAUGUUUCUGUUUGUGGAAAAGAUUUGGAGUAAAAAUGACUUCUUCUUGUAAUGAGAAUAGUUUUUACCUGAUAAUCCACAACACUUGAUUCUUUUCUUUUCAGAAAGUCACUUUUCUAGUGUUAGAUAUGUUACAUGACAAAAAUGCAUCUGCUCUUCUAAAUUCGAAAUCAAACUUGAGUAUGUUUCAGCAUUCUUUUUUAAGCAAUAUAUGGAUCCAUUACCAAGACAGACCACACUAAUAUGAGACCGGUAUUUAUCAUGGUAAGCAUAUUGUUGGCUGUUAUUCACAGUCCUAAUUCCUGUCUUUCUUCAAUAUGGAAAUUUAGUGUUUACAAAUAUAUAAUGAGUCGUUGAAACUGACUCAAAAAAAGUUGUUGAUAUAAGGUAACUGUAAACAAGAAUACAUGCAUCUUGUAAAUUUGAGUUCCUAAAGUUCAGUUAGGUUUAAUUGAUUUGUUCAGGCAAUUUGGGACUAUGAUUAAUAGCCUAAUAUGAGAUCAUUUUUAUGUUAUCUAUGUAAUUGUGGUUUCUCUUUUUUCCUUUUUGUUUUGUAAUUGAUGCCUGUGGGUUUUUUGUUAUGAUAUUCUUGUUAUUAAUUGUUGAAGGUAAGAUCAACUUUGCACGUAGAAAUUUCGUAAGCUUAAACUGACACAUGAUCCUAUAUACUUUUUAGUUCUUGACAUGAUGUAUCCUAUUCAGUCUGAUACGGAUGUAUAUGGUUCAGUUGGUCCAGUUUAGAUCCAGUUUAUCGAUGAGAACAAACCAAAUUGAUUAGUUACGGUUUGGAAAUUCCUGAAACCAAAUAAAAAACCAUUUCACUACCAGAAAUCAAAAUGACAAAACCAUAAUAUUGCAGGAAUUUAAUGCUGGAUCAUCAGUCUUUUUUAUCUUCUCCUUCUAUGAUCAUAAUUCGUAGUUUGAUUGUCAAAUACUGACAAACUUCCAUUUAAAAACUGCAAAAUAAGACUAAAAUUCACAAGUUAAUUUAAAUUACUAAAUUAGGUACCUCAAGUUAGUUGUCAUUGUUGUCCACACACCAUAAUUAAUUCAGAAGUAUCAUCAUGAUGUGACAUCCUUGCUGCUGCUAUUAGAUUUACAGCUUCUCUGUUUGUGUUCCAUCUUCUUACAUUCAUCAUUUUGUUUGCAG
RNAcentral lists this long non-coding RNA (2970 nucleotides) under Musa acuminata (dwarf banana). Its description in RNAcentral is "long non-coding RNA (MACU_LNC006580)". The record is from RNAcentral. Lineage: Eukaryota; Viridiplantae; Streptophyta; Magnoliopsida; Zingiberales; Musaceae.